UGGGGAAUAUUGCACAAUGGGCGCAAGCCUGAUGCAGCCAUGCCGCGUGUGUGAAGAAGGCCUUCGGGUUGUAAAGCACUUUCAGCGGGGAGGAAGGCGAUAAGGUUAAUAACCUUGUCGAUUGACGUUACCCGCAGAAGAAGCACCGGCUAACUCCGUGCCAGCAGCCGCGCUAAUACGGAGGGUGCAAGCGUUAAUCGGAAUUACUGGGCGUAAAGCGCACGCAGGCGGUCUGUCAAGUCGGAUGUGAAAUCCCCGGGCUCAACCUGGGAACUGCAUUCGAAACUGGCAGGCUAGAGUCUUGUAGAGGGGGGUAGAAUUCCAGGUGUAGCGGUGAAAUGCGUAGAGAUCUGGAGGAAUACCGGUGGCGAAGGCGGCCCCCUGGACAAAGACUGACGCUCAGGUGCGAAAGCGUGGGGAGCAAACAGG
This 429-nucleotide ribosomal RNA is filed under the name Chloroflexota bacterium. Its description in RNAcentral is "Chloroflexi bacterium partial 16S ribosomal RNA". It matches the Rfam family "Bacterial small subunit ribosomal RNA", at positions 355 to 776 of the family's 1533-position model. The record is from RNAcentral. Lineage: Bacteria; Bacillati; Chloroflexota.